CUGUAGUCCACUGGACCGGUCUGUAGUCCGCUAGACCGGUCGGUAGUCCGCUAGACC
Gadus morhua (Atlantic cod) is the source of this 57-nucleotide microRNA precursor. The record is from Ensembl. Lineage: Eukaryota; Metazoa; Chordata; Actinopteri; Gadiformes; Gadidae.